GCUGCCGCGGCGGGCCCCAGGCCCGGAAGGAAGGGCUCGUUCCGCGCCCGGCGAGGCAGCGGCGACGGGCCGAGGGCAAGCCCGCCGGCGUCGGGGCGUUUGUUCGAGGGUGAGGGGCUUAGAAGAGCCGUGGGCCUUCCUCCUCUGCCUGCAGGUCCUGCGUUUAUGUGUUUGUGUUUCUUUCCCGGAGCUCUCAAGGUAUGCGCACCCUUUGCACGCCGCCUCUGGAGGCUGGGAAGUGCCUUUUGCUCCCAAGGCCAGUGAAGGAGAAACAGCAGUCUGGGGUGAGACAGCCUCAUCAAAUGCUUUUAGAGACCUCUAAGAAGAAUUUCUGUUGUGCUUGAAAUUGAAUAUUACCUGCUGCAAAACUUUACUGUGGUUUGGAACUUGACUUUCCCAUUCCCCUCAUUUUCAUUUAAUAAUGAAAAUAAAGCAUUAUAUUUAAAGAUACUGCUACCUUUUACCAUAGGUAGUACCUCUAAAAACACAACAGUUCUUAAAUGCAUGUUUAUGAUUGCACUGCUUGGCCGAGGAUGAAAGCAAUAAUCUGAUUCCUUGCAUACUUUCAGUGAUACGCAAAAAUCUGAUGGAUUAAAGGAUUUUCUGAGGCCAAAACUAAUAUCCAUGUUUACUCAUUCUUUGUUUUUAAAUUAAGCUUUUUUUUUUUUAGCAUCUGAGCAGUGAAGGUUUCAGUAGGUCUAGGAGGAUUUCCUCUGAAGAUAUUUGAAUGUAAACCUUUUAUUUGUCAACAGACCUCAACUAGAUUUUUGUUGCUGAAGAAUUUGUUGUUACAGCAGCACACAUCUAUAAAGAUUUUAAAGGACUUCUUAAAAGAUGCUUGGUUAGGCAAAUUUUUACAGUGAUUGAAACAAGAUGAGGAAAAGAGUGAAUCUAUUCUGAUUUCCAAAACAGUCUUUGCUCUCGGUAUACUUGUUAUUUAUACCAAUUCUGACCUUAGUAUAUUGUAUUAAGGUGAGGCAACCAUGAAACUGAGAAGUCUUUGCAAUUAGUUGACAGCAUUGCACAUGAAAAUGAAGUAUUUAUCUUUGAUACAGAACAUAUAAUUGGAGCAUUUGAAAAAUAAGAAUUGUAAUUAAAAGUCAUAUUCUGCUUCCUCUCUUCAGCGAGCAUUUGUUGUAAUAGUCUUUCUUAGCAUCCAUCUACAGGAAAUACAUAUGCUGCUGAAACAACUUUUUCUAACAGUGAAAUAUUUGAAAAUCAUAACUGAUGCACAGCAUUCGCUUCACUGAUUUACAAUAGCGCUUUUGGAUGCACUCUUUCAGAUUUUACAAGAUAAAUGCAUACAACAACAACAAGCUACUAAUUAUCUCCUGGUUAUAAGCAAAGAGAAAAGAAGUAGUAAAGCAAAAAGAAGGACCUCUGAGUUGAAAUAUGCCAGGUGGAUGUGGAACAGGUCUGUGUGGAUUUUCUGCUAGAAUAUGAGUUUGUUCUGUUUUUUAUCUUAAGUCACUGUUAAAAAAAAAAUAGUUUCAGUUAUUGUCUAUCUCCCUAAUAUCCUUUUCCUUUGGCGCCUCCAAAACAGGAAGGAUGUUUGUUGAAACUAAGAUUAUUUUUUUUUUAAGUAUAAAUUAAAUUUUAAUUUAGUAUAUCUUUAAUUUAAAUAGAAUUUAAAGCAUAGCUUUAAUUCUUACUUCAAAGAUAGUGUUGUCAUUAUAAUAGUUUUUAACAACUUGUAAUGCAAAUUACAGAGUUCAGAGCAUAAUAGGAAAGGUAAAAAUUACAUAUAUUUUCAGAUCUUGAAUAAGAUUACGGAGUCAACAAAAUAAAUGUGUCAUGUAUAUGUAUAAACUGAAUCUUUCUCAGUGUAUCUAAAUGUUGAAAAAAUUACAUAAACUGAAUGUAGGUAUUAAUUUAUCUUGAUUGUUCAUUAACAGUUAGAAUUUAUUAGAAUCGUUAAUUGUAUCAGAGCAAAGUAUUUUUUCUGUAGAUUUUUCUAUUAAAUGUCUUUAAAACCA
Haliaeetus leucocephalus (bald eagle) is the source of this 1976-nucleotide long non-coding RNA. RefSeq lists it as uncharacterized. Lineage: Eukaryota; Metazoa; Chordata; Aves; Accipitriformes; Accipitridae. The record is from RefSeq and is a predicted model, not a curated record. The transcript is spliced from 2 exons.